This 560-nucleotide long non-coding RNA is filed under the name Helianthus annuus (common sunflower). RNAcentral describes it as "hypothetical non coding rna". The record is from RNAcentral. Lineage: Eukaryota; Viridiplantae; Streptophyta; Magnoliopsida; Asterales; Asteraceae.
UUCAUUUGGAGUCAACAAACCAUAUGUUAGUCACCUCUAUAAAAGAAGAUGAGUCAGCAUUAACUUGGAAACAAUGGGUGCAUGGACCAGUCAAAUUGAGUGUGUUCGAUUUACGGCAUUAGGCGCAUACGACGAUUAUUUACGAGAGUUCUGAGCCGGAUACGCCGUUGGUUUGGCUUGGGUGGAAUAAGCAGGAUCCGAGGUAUAUGGCGACGAUUAUAAUGGAUAGCGCGAAGGUGGUUGUGUUGGAUAUUCGGUUUUCGACGUUUCUGGUUGUGGAGCUGCAGAGGCAUCAGGCGAGUGUGAAUGCGAUUGCGUGGGCGCCGCAUAGUUCGUGACAUAUUUGUACUGCGGAUGAUGAUUCGCAAGCGCUUAUUUGGGAUUUGAGUUCUAUGGGGCAUCCGGUUGAAGGGGGUUGGAUCUGAUUUUGGCGUGUACUGCGGGUGCUGAGAUUGAACAGUUGCAGUGGUCGUCUUCGCAACCAGAUUUGGUUGCCAUUGCUUUUGCGUUGAAGCUGCAGAUUCUGAGGGUAUGAUUGUGUUAAAAUGUUGGUCUUUUUU